This 70-nucleotide transfer RNA is filed under the name human gut metagenome. It matches the Rfam family "tRNA". Rfam says of the family: Transfer RNA (tRNA) molecules are approximately 80 nucleotides in length. Their secondary structure includes four short double-helical elements and three loops (D, anti-codon, and T loops). RNAcentral also lists the same sequence under 2 other names. The record is from RNAcentral.
GAGCAUAGCUCAGCUGGGAGAGCAUCUGCCUUACAAGCAGGAGGUCACAGGUUCGAGCCCUGUUGCUCCC